This is a long non-coding RNA of Neofelis nebulosa (Clouded leopard), 624 nucleotides long. RefSeq lists it as uncharacterized. The transcript has 3 exons. Lineage: Eukaryota; Metazoa; Chordata; Mammalia; Carnivora; Felidae. The record is from RefSeq and is a predicted model, not a curated record.
UUUUCUCCUUCCUGGGCUUGCUCACUUCCUUUCCCUUUACCCCUGCUUCCUGGGAUCUCCUCCCAAACGAACGAGUCCUGUCUCAGGCUCUGCUUCUGGGGGAACCCAAGCUAAGAGAGAAGUGCUAUUAACAACUUGAGGAUCUGAAUGCCAUCUCUUACCUUUCAGAAUUGUCACUUAUACCUAAACCAGAGAGGAGGAGAGUCCCAACACUGGCUUUGAAACGCCUCUGACCCACAGGAAAUGGCUGUUUUCAAGUGUCAGGAGGAAGCCCGGGGAGCUUGACUUGGAAAGACUUACAGUGCAGAGGACAGCAGACACAGUGGAGUGUGGGAGGUAAUGCCUGAAGCUUAACUAGAGGGAUUCAGUGAAAGUUUGCAGCCUCCCUGCAAGGACCUCCCCCAGAGCCUUCCUCAGGAGGCUGGCAGUCAAGCACGGACUCCCCAAGAGAAAGACUGGAGAGGAUAAGUACCCCCAGACUGACAAGUUAACGCGAAGGGCUGGCACUGGCCCCUCAAGCACCUCUGCAGAGACCCGGGAUGCCAGGGAGGCCCAUUUACAAGCCAGCAAUUCAAAAGGUGAGACCUACAUUUGGAGCUGUUUGAUAAGCAGUUAAGAGUUACU